RNAcentral lists this ribosomal RNA (609 nucleotides) under uncultured crenarchaeote. RNAcentral describes it as "bacterial SSU rRNA". It matches the Rfam family "Archaeal small subunit ribosomal RNA", at positions 80 to 675 of the family's 1478-position model. Lineage: Archaea; Thermoproteati; Thermoproteota. The record is from RNAcentral.
CGAUUACGGCUCAGUAACACGUAGCUAACCUACCCUUAGGACGUGGAUACCCCCGAGAAAUUGGGGUUAAUCCGCGAUAGAUGUAAUGUCCUGGAAUGGUAUUACGUCUAAAGGUAUUUCAUACAUGUUUGAAAUAUGCCUAAGGAUGGGGCUGCGGCCGAUCAGGCUGUUGGUGAGGUAAUGGCUCACCAAACCUUUGACCGGUACGGGCCAUGAGAGUGGUAGCCCGGAGAUGGACACUGAGACAAGGGUCCAGGCCCUAAGGGGCGCAGCAACCGCGAAACCUCCACAAUGCACUCACGUGCGAUGGGGCUAUCUCGAGUGCCACCUGAUGAAGGUGGCUUUUCCUUGGUCUUCAAAGCCUUGGGAAUAAGAGGGGGGCAAGACUGGUGUCAGCCGCCGCGGUAACACCAGCCCCUCGAGUGGUGGGGAUGAUUAUUUGGCCUAAAGCGUCCGUAGCCGGCCGAGCAAGUCUUCCGUUAAAUCCAGCGUCUCAAGCGUUGGACCGCGGGAGAUACUACACGGCUAGAGAGUGGGAGAGGUUAGCGGUAUUCUGGGGGUAGGGGCGAAAUCCUUUGAUCCCCGGAGGACCACCAGUGGCGAAGGCUG